Molecule: long non-coding RNA, 31516 nt
Filed under: Setaria italica (foxtail millet)
Lineage: Eukaryota; Viridiplantae; Streptophyta; Magnoliopsida; Poales; Poaceae
Description: long non-coding RNA (SITA_LNC003951)
Source: RNAcentral
AGAGGGUUACGGAUCUUGUCAAUGCCGAGAAUUACGACGAGCCUGCCUCGAGCUCCACGACUUUGGUAAUGUAAAGGGAACUUCCAUGGACCAUGGGCACCCAAAAGUGCCGGAACGUUCAACCCAGAAAAUAACUGUCUCUCUGCUUGACCUGGAGAGUAACUGGGAACAUAUUGCAGAUGUUUUUCUUACGUUUGGAAACUCAACGAUUCAGGUAGUGUGAAAAACGCGUCCCAAAGGUGGAUUGAGUACUUCACUCGAAAGAUCUGCAUUGCCUGACACAUAUGUGCCACAUCACUCUGCUGGCUGGACCGUUGGAUACGUUACGGCCGGUGACAGCCUAAUUCCAAUUGUGCCUGUCCAUUCAUCUUUUGGAGAUUAUUAUCUCCACAGUCACUAACUGGGGGGGCCCCCAAUGAAAAUCAAACGGUAAAAACGAUAAGGACCGAGAGGCACGCGAGUGGUGACAACCGCGGGCCGCCUGAUAGCGACAGCUUCGCCGAUUGAAGGCGAUGCCUUCGUCUAUCAUGGAUGGUCGCUCUCGCAAGAGCUAUCCAUGGUAGUAGUGGUAUGGCGGCGUACAGAUACGCUUCGAUCGAGCGAUGAGAAGAAUCCAUGGGAUUCUCUCACGCUCCCGCGAUGCCUUUCCAGUUUCCAUGGGAAGACGACGUAGCGAUUGAGAAUCCCGUUGCCUGCACGGCUGCACUGCAUAUGGGUACAAGGCGGACGCAGGCGUCGCCGUCGAUGCACGAUCCAACAUCUGAACAUCAUCACCAAGCGCUGGGGCCCACGAGACGAGGCAAGAUCCGUUUCACACAAGGUAGUUUUCAUGUGACACCGACUCCUUGUUGGAUCGGGAGUAGUGCGUGAUACUCUGGCUCUCCGAGAUUUGUCCGCUGGAGUCUGCUGCACGGGAAGGAACACUGUCCAUGUCAGUACUCAUGUGGUUGUGACACGAACACCAUCACGCCUGGCGGUUACCUGAGCCGGCUUAUUAAAUUAUCAUGCUCACAAGAUGAACCCGCCUGUACGUAGCCAAAGACACACACCGACACACGCGCACACACCCAAUGGAACCGGCAGCCGGUGGAGGGCAGCAGGCGAGACGGCGACCUGCCGGCCUCAUCGGCCUCCACGCGCUCCUCUGCUUAUCGCUGCUCCUCAACGCGCUCCUCCUCGCGCACCACUUCCUUCCGCCGUCGCGGUUGCUCGGACACGACGGCGGAGGCAGCAGCGGCUGCGGGCUGAGCUGGGCGCUGCGGGCGGCCAGGGAGGCCGAGGCGGCGGCCGCCGUCGACUGCUCGGGCCACGGGCAGGUGUUCCUGGAUGGCGUCGCCGGCGAGGACGGGCGGCCCGGCUGCGAGUGCAACGCCUGCUUCGCCGGGCCGGACUGCUCCCUACGCACCCCCGACUGCACCGCCGACGCCAACAGGUACGCGACCCGGCGUCGUCACGGCGCCUUCCCGUCGUCUUAGGCUCUUAGCUAUGGCUUCCAUCAAGAGUAGGAGAGUUUGCAACUGAUGCCAUGAGUGGAGGUCCGGCGUUGGCUCGGGGAGCAGUAGUGCUAAAAAGGAAGAUGACCCUGCGUCGACAUGCACGAUGCGCUGGUUACUUGGUUGAGAUUUUUAAUGUUCCAUUGGGAAGCGAUCAAGUCUAAUCCUAGCCCCGCCAUGGAGAUGAGCCGAUUAACCUAUACUAAGUAUAGUCCAUCAACCCGUGCUCCCGCACAGGCUAAUAUUUUUAGAAGCUAUUUUAUUUGAAAAUUAUUUAAAAAUUAAACUCCUAACUAAUAAUUAAAAUUAUUUACCUACUACUCUCUUAUUUUUCAAUACUUCAACAUAAUACUUAUAUAGAUAUGUACCUAUCUUUGUCCAGUUCUAAUUGAUUUUUAAUUAAUAAUUACUCUAUGCAUAUUUUCAUCCAUAUUCGUACUUAUUCCAUUUUGUAUCACACCUUAAUCCUCCAUACAUUAUGUUUAGCAUAGAAAUCAAUAUUUUUCAUCGAUUCCUCACAUACAUGUAUAAAUGGUCUAAAUGGUGGCACUCAUCAUGUGUAUAUACUUUAACUUAGUAUUUUUAUAUUAACAAUGACAUAAAUAGGUAAUUUGGAAUCAUAUAUUAGUUUACUUUUUGACAUUUCUGUAUCAUACACAUGAAGAUAAUUAGAUUAAUAUUUAGGUGUUUACUUUAGGUUAUUUUUAAUAACGACACACGUGGAUAACAUAGAUAAAAUUUUAGAAUGACAUUUUAAGUUAUGCUUUAUAAUGAUGUGUAUUAGUAAAUUGGAUGAAGAUUAUAGGUUACUUUAGAUUAUUUUUUAUAAUAGUUGAUCUCGGUAAUUUAGAUAUAGGUUUAGAGCUCAUUUUUGAAUAUUUUCACAAUGACAGUGGAGGGUAACUUUUUAGAAAAUAUAAUAGAUCAAUGGCUAUGAUUAUUAGAGUUUACAGGAUUAGUGUUUGAUGUUUUUAAUUUUUAUAAGAAUUUAUCCCUUUUUUCUAGCUUGUAUCGUGGGAACUAAUGCGGAGUCUCCAAUGGAAAAAAAUAAGACUACAUUGCUACAAAACUAUUACCAUAAGCUACCUCUCGUUUGUUAAAUAUUCGAACACAAUACUUACGUAGAUAUAUACUUAAUAUCUUCAUCCAAUUGUGAUAGAUUUUAGUUAGUAAUUACUCUAUAAUAUUUUCAACCACAUUUAUAAUCUUUAACUUUUCACUUUGCAUCGCAGGUAUGCGCUUGAAUUUGUUUAAUGAAUCCUAAGUCUGAGAUACAAUUUUAGCAUAGAAAUCUAUAUUCUCAUCACCUUAUAUCCUUAUAAAUGGUUAGUAAUUACUCUAUAAUAUUUUCAACCACAUUUAUAAUCUUUAACUUUUCACUUUGCAUCGCAGGUAUGCGCUUGAAUUUGUUUAAUGAACUCUAUGUUUGAGAUACAAUUUUAGCAUAGAAAUCUAUAUUCUCAUCAGUUUAUAUCCUUAUAAAUGGUGACACACAUCAUGCGUAUAGACCUUAAUUAUUAUAUCGUAUACCAAUAGUGAAAGAUAUAGGAGAUUUAGAAUCAUAUAUUGCUGUAUAUUUUUAAUCAAGGUUAUUUGAUUCAAACGAAGGGUUACCCUAUGUUAUUUUUUAUAAUGGCACGUUUGGGUAAUAUAGAUGCAAAUUUAAGGGUUCCUUUAAGUUUUUUAAGGAACAAUGGUAGGCAAUUCAAUUGCAAAUUAGAGGUUAUUUUAAAUAUUGUUUAUAAUGGUAUAAGUGGGUAAUUUGGAUAAAGAUUAGGGGUUACUUUAGUUUAUUUUAUAUAAUGGCAGAGGUGGGUAAUUUAUUUGUAGAUUUAGGGGGUUACUUUAGGCUAUUUACAUAAUGGUAUAGGUGGGUAAUUGUUUAGAAAAACAUAAUAGAUCCAAAGGUUACGAUGAUUUUAAUAUAUCGAUUGAUGGUCGGAUGUUUUGCUUUUUGAUGAGAAUUUCUGUCCACCUAGGAUAGGAAUCCUUGGUGGCUUUACAAAAGAAGCCUCUAAUCAGUAAUAGUAAGAUAAGAUAGUAAGAUUCCUAUCCUGAGGCGUGGCUCCUGACCUCAUCGAUUAGACGAUUAACAAUUGUCCGUACCUUUUACUACUCCCUGGGAUUGUCUCGGCAGCCAGCAGGAGAGUGGGCGAAGGUGAACGGCCGUUUUCUGUCAACUGCAGGUCUAGCCGUCGUGUGGAAGUGUGGAACUAUUCAUGGUUGGCCGCAUCGCAAAACGUGACGCCCUGCGUGCCUAGUUGCUUUAUUUCAGAGCCUGUUUAAUUGCUGGAUUUUAGACAACUAAAAUCACUGCGCUAGCACUGUAGCAUACUGUAGCGUUUCGUUUGUAUUUAUGAAUUAUUGUCCAAAUAUUGACUAAUUAGGCUCAAAAGAUUCAUCUCGCAAAAUACAACCAAACUGUGCAAUUAGCUUUUGAUUUCGUCUACAUUCGGUACUUUAUGCAUGUACCGUAAGUUUGAUGUGAUGGGAAAUCUUCUUUUUGCAUAAUUUAAAGUUGGAAUUUUGGGUAACUAAACAUACUAUCUGACUGCUGAGUGCUCACGCUGGUCGUGUGUCCAAUGAUUGCCGCAGCGGGAACCCGCUGUUCCUGGAGCCGUACUGGCGGCGCCACGCGUCCGCCGGCGCCGUGGUGGUCUCCGGGUGGCACCGCAUGAGCUACACCACCACCGACGGCCACGGCCUGUUCCAGUCCGUCGAGCUCGAGCGCCAGAUCCGGCGCCUGCACAGCGCCGUCGGCAACGCCGUCGUCGACGACAAGCACGUGGUCUUCGCCGCCGGCUCCAUACAGCUCAUCAACGCGCUCGUGCACGCGCUCUCCCCGGACGCCGACGCCGCCUCGCCACCGGCCCGCGUGGUCGCCACCGCGCCUUAUUACCCGGUCAGCCUGCGGCCUCUCUUUCGUAUUACACUGCACAUUGCCUAUAAGAGAAUCAUAGAUGGGGUGGAUCAAACAAGUCAUCGUUAAGUUUCAACCAUUGAUCGACUUUGCAGACUUACAGAACACAGACGAAGAUGUUCGACGGCCGCGAGUACAUAUGGGGCGGGACCACGGCUCUGUGGGGCAACGCGUCGCGGAACUCCACCGAUGGCUUCAUCGAGUUCGUCACGUCGCCCAACAACCCGGACGCCCAGCUCUACAAGCCCGUCCUCGGCGGCUCGGCCGCGGUGAUCGUCGACCACGCCUACUACUGGCCGCACUUCACGCACAUCCCGGCGCCGGCCGACGAGGAUGUCAUGAUGUUCACCAUGUCCAAGCCCUCCGGGCACGCCGGCAGCAGAUUCGGGUACUUGCACGCUACUGCAUAGUCGUCGUCUCAGCUCUGCGCAUGGAGAAUGACAUGAGCAUGUCGUGCGCGCGCGCGCGCUGCGCAGGUGGGCGCUGAUCAGGGACCAGGACGUGGCCAAGAGGGCAAACAAGUACGUGCAGGACAGCAUCAUGGGCGCGUCCCGGGACACCCAGCUGCGGAUGCUGGGGAUCGUCAAGGUCAUGCUCGCCAACCUGCACGGCGAGGAGGACAUCUUCGCCUUCGGGCACGGCGUGAUGAGGACCAGGUGGCGCAGGCUCAACGCCGUCGUGUCGCGCUCCCGCCGCAUCUCCCUCCAGAAGAUGGCACCCGCGUACUGCACCUACUUCAAGCGGAUCAGAGACCCAUCGCCGGGUGAGCCGUCUCAGCUUUGAUCGGCAUUAACAUCGCAGCUCACUUAUCGACGUUACUGAACCUGUUACUGCACUCGGUGGGCAGCCUACGCGUGGGUGAAGUGCGAGAGGGAGGAAGACGAAGACUGCCAUGAGGCCAUGCUGAAGGCGAAGAUCAACACGCGUCCCGGCGUCUUAAACGAGGCUAGCAGCAGGUACACGAGGAUCAGCCUCCUCAAGUCGGAUGAUGACUUCGAAGCGCUCAUGGAGAGGGUCACGGAUCUUGUCAAUGCCGAGAGGUACGACGCUCCCGGUUUCAGCUCUAUGUGACGGUAAUAGCCACUGAAGUUCAUUGGUCCGAUAAGGCAAGUACUAUACCGGGGCGAUCAAAUCCGAGCUGUUGUUUCUCGUGAUAUAAGCUGCUGAGUAUUGGUACAGCACAAGUUCUCAACGGGCAUGAUAAGAUACUGGAAAUCAUCAGCUAGGCGUUGAUGAUUAUUCUACAAAAUCACUUGAACGGUCAACUAGAAGUUGGGUGUUUCUUUUUUUAAAAAGGGAAAAAGUUGAUUGUUUCUCAGCGUGAGCUGGCGGGAAUAGUUGGGCAUGACUGGAAAAAAUUAUACAAGAGAUGAUCAGCUACGGGUUGAUUGCUCUCACUGCGCAGAUCAUUAUGUAGUGUAAGUAUAUAGGAAAGAAAAUGUGCAUUGUGUGUAUGGAAUAGGUCAAUAGUAAUUGAAUGGACACUAUGUACUGCAACAAUGUAAUAGCUUCUCCAUCAACGCAUGUGCAACUGCUUGAGGUACAAAUAUUUUCUAAAAAACACAUGAGUAAUUGAACUUCGCAAAAUAACUUAUGUUUAAGACUUAGAGGUGAAUAACUUGUAUAUGUUGACAAUAUUUAAUCUAUGAAUUAACUUUGAUAACUUAUCCCCUAGCCGGAGAAGAGAAGAAAAAGAGGGAAAAAAAAGGUAAAGAAGGAAGGAGAUAACGAGGACCGCCCCCCUUCCCCCACCCCCCCCCCCCACCCACAACCUCUGCCUCCGUCACUACCCUCAACUAACUUGAUUCUAGCUCCAUCACUGGAUACUAAACAUCAAUGAAGAAAUACGAGCAAACUUCUACCUUCCUGGCCGAAAAUUUCUCCUUCAGAGUUCGCGCAUGGUGAUCGGUGAGAAGCAUUCCAUGGGGAUCUCACAGAUAGGUGUAAUUUGAAAUGCAUCGUAGGACGCCAAAGAAAUUUGAGCUCCUUUACGGUGGAUAAUACUACCCUAUACUACUGUUUGAAAAGGACUCGUAUGGAAGGAUCCAACGGUUGAGAUUAAUUGUAUACUACUAAAAUCUUAAGCUGUAGUAUAGGUAGUAUGCAUGAGUAGUAUGGGUAGUAUAAGGGUAUUAUUGGAAAGAUGUUAAAUGACAAUGUUGUAAUAGAUCAAAUGAAAUCUUUGUUAAUUAUAAUCUUGUUUCUUUUUAUUCCUCCUCAUUUCCAAUCAGUCGGAGGUUGCGACUGGGCCUCCUCAUUUCCAAUCCGUCGCAGGCUCCUCUAGGGUUGCAACGGGGUGGCGGCGCCGACUCCCCGGCGGCGGUAGGCGGAGAAUCCGGCGGUCGGCAGAGACUCCGGCGGUCGGCGGGGACUACGCGGCGGGCGGCGGUGACUCCGCGGUUCAGGAGAUGCGCGCCGCGUUGCUGCUCCACGGUACCUAGGGUUGAAAUGGGGCGGCGGCGGCAACUCCGUGGCGGCGGGCGGCGGAGACUCCAACGGUCGACGGUGACCAAGCGGCGGGCGGCGGCGACUACACAGCUUAGGGUAUGUGCGUCGCCUUCGGCUUUUCCCACACCCACGCCGCCUCCCGCCGCCAGCCCGCCUCCGGAUUUUCCAGGCCGCAGGCCGCCUCCCAUCGCUCGGCCGCCGCCGCCUCCCACCCGCCGCCCGCUGUCUGGACGCCUCCCAUCGCUCUCGCUUGGGCCACCGCUGCCGCCAGCUCUUUCAUGUCCGCCGCCGCCUCGUCCUCGUCCUUGUCCUUGUCCUCCUCCUCCUCCUCCUCCUCCUCCUCCCUCCUUUCCAGUUCGCCGCCACCUCCGCGCCACCUUCCGUCGAUCUUGGUCGGCCCCCUGCCACCACCGCCGCCGCCGCUAGCCCUUUCCAGUCCGCUACCGCCUCCUCCUCCUCCCUCCUUUCCAGUCUGUGCCGAGCGGACUCUGCACCACGGCGAGCUGUGCCGGAUCCUCGCGGAGCUCUUCCCGAAGUACCCGAUUCAGACGAGGUAUGGUUAUUGUGCUGCUUACUGAUUCUAGGAAAGGAACUGGUGCUGCUCUGAAUCACUGCAAGCUUGCUUCAAUGAAGAGGCUUUAGUAAUCUGAAGAAAUGAAAGAAUUCACUAGCAUGAUUUAGGCAGGCACCUCUGUGAUGUAGAAACUAACAGUAGCUCUGGUGAUUGUUUAUCCAAUUAUGAUUUUUCAGAAUUUGCUAAAUGAGGUAAUAGGUGUAAUUCUUUUACGCUUGAGAUGGUUCUUUUUUUUUGAAAAAAAUAGCGCAGAUGGUGAGGACCGGGAGGAAAUAGGUGCUGUUCUAGACCUGUAGGGCAGUUGGUGUGUCCUGAUAAACUUGUAGUUGUAGCGAAGGGAUACAUUAUACAGUUCAAGAUGACUAGAUGAGUGCAUAGUAUAAAUGUUAGAGAAGGCAGUAUAAGAAAAAUUGCUUAUUUUUUAUAAAAAAUAAAUUCUGAACUACUAUUAUUGGCCCAUAGAACUGGAAUAGCUGACCUGGUAACUAUCAUUCUUUCUGUUUUGGCCCAGGGAGCUGAAAUUGCUAACCUGACACAGAUACAGUUGAAUGAUUCAGUACCUGCCACUUGAGAAGGAAUGAAGGCAGGACAUGUGUUUCUAAGGAAAAACACAUCAUCUGCUCCUGCUCUAGUUUCCUGAAGCUUUGUUAGGUACUUGUUUAGUGUGUUCAAGCUUCCUAUAUCAGCUUUGAGAGUACCGAUUAAGUGAUUGUUUGAGAUAUCAAGUUCGAUAAGGUUGUGAAGAUUAAAUAAACUCUGUGGUAAGGUUGAAGACAACUGAUUAUGGGACAUAGAAAUGCGUUGUUAUUCAGGGAAAACAAAAGUUAAACUACCUUGAAGUAUAUGAUAUGUUCCUAUUAACAUCUAAACUAGGGAUCUGCACAUAGAAAUGAAAAGAACUUCAUUGGUUUGAAAUACUCGAUCAUCAUAGAUAAUGGAGUAAAACACAGAAAAAAUGGAAUGUAAUCUAUUUUUCAUUGUCUUGCAUCGUGUAUGUCUCCUCGGCAUUGGUAGCUUUGUAUCCUGGACUUCCCUUCACUUUGUUCCACGUAUAGUUAACCAAUGUGACAGCUAGCUUGAGCCUGAAAUUAGUCAUAUCCUUCUGCACAUAACGAAUACAAAUGCCUGUUAGCUGUAAUGUAAGAUGGGCAUAGAUUGGGUUGCUGAAUUUGUGUUGUUCAACUUACCUAUGUGAAUAAGAAAGAUAAUUUGUUUCUGGUCCAAAGCUCCAUGAAUUUAACCGUAAAUAGUCCACACGAUGCACUGCGAGUUUAUUUGGUAUUUACACAAGUUAGGAAGUACUAAUUAUGGGAACCCGAGUAUAUUGACAGGUGUUGAUGUGCUUGUACUGGUCAGUCUGGAUUGUCUUUUUUGAUGCAUUCAAUGACUGUCCAUUCUUUAACUUGGGUGUCCUUCCACCUAUGAUCUUUGAUCAAUUGCAGGUCUGCAAGGCGUGUCAUACGGUUCUGCAACCCUUGCAACUGAGUUCAAUAGAAUCAUCAGUGGUUGAGGUAAUCAUGUAUAAUUUGUUAUUAAGUAGUCGGUACCAGAUUAUUAGUGUAUCACCAUGUAGUUGUGGCCGGCGAGUGGCAGUCCCCUUGGAGUCAAGUACAUGAACGACACCCUUACGACCAUUGAUGACCACCAAAUACCAAUGACAAUCUUUAAUGUUGAUUGGAAAGAAGACCUAAAAAACUUAUUUCGUUAGAUGUUUGCCUGCGCCAAAUCAACCAUUUAUAGCUGUAAUAGGAUGCAAGCUGUGCCAUGUCAUUGUUGAGAUAAGUUAAUGUCCGAUAUAAACGGAAGUUGCCUUCUUCUUUAUUUCGUAAUGAAGCGAUGGUAUCCCCACAUAUCAUGUUGGCAUUGUAAGUUGUCUCUAGAUAGGCAUAUCCAUCUUCCCUUUCGUUGAUACUAGGUUGUGCUUUUAGUAUUCGGAUGUAAGCAUUCAUAACCUUUACUUGCAAGUUAAACUUCAUUAGAUUGUAUUGUUGAAAUAGGAACAUUUUUAUGUAGAGAUAUACUAACCUAAUCAUUCAGGAACAUUUCACUGUUGAGAAGGCACUCUAGAUCCUUCUUUGUUGCUAUGUAAAUACCAAUAUCAACAAAACUUUAUCCUGUGAUGUUGAAUUGAUGUACUGGACAAUGGACAACUCAUCUGCAUUGAUCAAAUACUCUGCGGAUAAUAGUUAGAUGACUAAUAUUAUCUAUGUAUUGGUAAAGAAAUUCGCACGGAGUAGUACCAUUUGACGUGCUAUCAGUUGAUAGUGGUUCAUCAGGUAUCGCAACAUCUAGGAUCUCUUCUUUUUCCUUGUUCUUGUUGGGUCGAUGACGUUUUGUGCCAAUACUGUACUCAUACUGGAUGUUUGUUUGUUGGAUGGGUUUUUUUUGACGAUUUGAUGGAUUCCUCGCUGUAGUUUUGUGCUUUGGUUGUGCCUUAUUCUCCUUUAUGUUUAUUUCAGGCUUGCCUAUAUGUGUGUCCGUCGCCUCAAGCACGACAUUUGUAGGUUGUACCACUACCCUUGAUUCCUGCAAGUUCGCAACGGCUGCAAAUGAUGGUAGUCGAGCUCGGAACUGAAUGAAGGUAUGCCUAAUAAUAUGAUAAUAGACUUACACGUUGUUCUUGUAUUACAUUAUCGAACCGCUUGUUAAGUGCAUUGAACCUGUCAUCAAUUUGAUUUGAUGGUAACCUGUACUGAUUGGUAAUGAACACUUGAAGUUCCUGCAUAAUUUUGUGAUUGCUAUCAGCUUGUCUCUUGUCCGAUUGUUCUGAUGUUGUGUGGCAUUAGGGGAUUGAGCAUGAGUUGUUAUGUUUAUGUCUUGUAAUGUCAUGGACAAUCUGACAUAGAAUAGAAAGAAGGAUUUUGUUAGUAACUGCUGGGAUUUCUAUAAAGUAAUGAGAUGGUUACUGAUGUUCGAUACACUUUUACCUUCCCUUCCCCAAAAUGAUGGUUGCGUGCUAGUUUGCAUCGUUCUUUAGCUCUCUUUUCGUCCCAAUAUUGCAUAAGUGGUUUGUCCCCUCCAGGAUGUUCUAAUGUAGGGUACAUAUGAGACAUAGACACCUUCUCCCAGUAAGACCUGUAGUUAAAAAAAUUGUAGUAGUGUUUGCUGUGAAUAUAAACAUAGUGUCAUGAAUCUUUGUUCAAUAUAUGCAAUGUACAUACCUGCAAAAGAACUAGAUUCCCUUUAAGAUUAGCUGCCUUUACCUCCCUGUAUUCCCGUAUGCUUCUGAUCAAGAAAUUAAGAACCAGGCUGCUCCAGUUCAGGUUCUUGAUAUUAUCAAUUUCUUCAACGAGCCCAAGAUAAUCUGAUUUGACGUAUGGCUGUAGUGUUGGGCACAAGUAGAAACCAAUGGUGUACAACACAAAUAUGCGAAUAAAGUCAUCACCAUAGGUUUUGUUCUUGCUUAAAUAUUCCCUCAACUCCGAUGAAUGAUGCUCCUUUAUUUCAUCGCCUUGGGAUGGAAAGCCUAGUAUAUGCUCAACAUCUUUGAUGGAUAUUUUCACCUUGUUUUCUUGAAUGUUGAAUUCUUCUUUGUCUAAGUCGAAACUGUACGCAAUCUCCUUGCAUAGCUCACGUCGAAUCUCUAUGUCCUUAAGCUUAAGUAAAGAACCAAAUCCUGCUUUCUCAAUAGCAUCCUUUUGUUCUUGGUUCAACAUGCUUAUAAUCUCUACUAGUAAUUUCUGCGAGCAUUUACAUGUACCCUGAAGGAAAAUAAUAAUUAGAGUUGCUUCAGAAAGAAAAUUGGCCCAUAUCCUGGGAACAUAACUGGUACUGGGAACAUAACAAGGGAUGUUUUUUUGCAGCUUAUGUGAAGUUCAGGUAUGUUUCUUGUAAUUGGUGUUGAUCUAUGUUUUUUUUCAAUAAACAUAUUAAUAGUCUGCUAUUUCCUUUGUAGGUGUUGAAUUAUAGCAAGCAUUGCAGAGUUUGUGACAAAUGUGUAGAUGGUUUUGAUCAUCACUGCCGGGGAACUUUUUUUAUUUUUAACCCUUUUUUUUUAUUUUUAAAAAUAACCUCACCCGCACUUUAUUUGCGCGGUGUGACCCUUUUGGCCGCGCCAGACCGCCUGCACUGGCGCGGCGGCCCCUGCCACGCUGGCGCGGCCAGUCGCGGCGCCAGGUGGGCGCUGAUGUGGGCGGGCGUUCGCCGCGCCAGCCCGCCUGGUGCGGCAGGGCCAGCACUAAAUCCGCGCGCCGGCUCCCUUCCUCCUCCCUCCCUCCUUUCUUCCUCCUCCAGACACCCCACACACCAGCACCUUGUAGCGCCGGCCCCCACCGCCCCACCCCCAAAUCCACCCAAAAUCCGACGAUUUGGGUGGGGAAAAGUAGUGAAAAUCGAUCCCUGCUUCGUAUGGAAGGUAUUCCCCUACUUUUUCUCGUGUUUUACCGUUGCAUUUGGUAGAUCGGAGGAUGUUUAGGUGACUUAGGGUUAGGUUAAUGAUUUGAAUUUUGAAUGAAAUGCAAUGGUGUUUUGUGUUAGAUGAUACGUAGUUCAUACGCAAUUAAGUCUCUGCCCGCGAUAUUGACGUGUAGAACUUGUUGAAUGCUUCGAUUUAGGUAUAUAUUCAUCCAAAUUUGUGGUUUACAUGACAUGUAUUUUUUUUAUAUCUUCAAUUAAUUAGUCUCAUAUUUUUGUUCGUUAAUAUAGUUGCUAUAGUUGAUAUGUUUCAGUGUUUGUAUUUUGUAGAUCGAGUGUUUACAUUUUAUCAAAAUGAUGUAUAUAACUCGUAUGGAUUACGUGUGUAAAGUUUAUUUGUGUAUUAGAUUUGUUGCACUUGAUUUCCAGGUGAGAUGGCGUCGUUUGGUUGUGAAUACUAACGGCGUACGUGGUAUGUGCGUUAUGUGGGCGAGUCCGAUGGUGCUGGUCCCGUACCUCCUGCCCUUCCGGUACCUCAUAUGUAGAUGCGGAGCGCAAGCAGAGGUGAAACAAUCAAAGCAUCCAAAGACAGCCGGAAGAGCCUUCUAUGUAUGCAAAUGGACUUUUGAUACAAUGCCUGCCGCACCUUGUGAUUUCUUUCAGUGGAUCGAUGGACCCGACAAAUAUGAUCCUAGGAUCCGCCUAUUCCCAUAUCAUAGCACAGAGCUUAAACCAUACCAUCAGUUUAGGCGUUGGGUUCCUCCUCCACCAAACCCACCUAGGAUGACCGAGGAGGAGAAGCAGGAGGCUGCUUGUAGGCGUGUGAGGGAUCCUCCCAUGUGCAAGUGUGGUGUUCCUGCUAAGCUUAUGCGUUCUAACUUAGGGGAUCCACCUAAGUUUACUCCAUUCUUUCGAUGCUCCCUAAAGACUCAUGUAAGUAUAUUACGAGAAUAUUAGUAUGUCGUUUAGCUAGCAGUUAUAAUUUUGCAGUAUAUUGUUCAUACUUUUACUUGAUGUUAUUGCUUGGAAGUUGGAGCAGCAUUUUGUAGUUACUUUACAUAUGAGUAGUUCACGUCACGGGUUUUUUGCAGGAUGGGUGGCCGUUGUGUGAUUUCAAUGAGUAUAUAUACGGUCCAAUGGCAAUGUGGCCAACAGAGGAGCAAGUGCGGGAGUUCGAAAGUGGAAAGGCACCGUGGCCAUGUGUGUCCUCUCCUAGUGAUAGAUGCAAGUGUGGUAUAUUGGCAACAGAAGGUGUGGUGCCUUCUGAACUUGGAUAUGGUUCGUUCUGUGGAAAUGCACAUGGCGAUUACUGGGUUAGUAACUACUCGUCUCUUAUGUGUUAUGAAGGUUGGAACUUGUUUCAAAUUUGUAAGAAUAUUGAAUUGUUGUUGCAGGAGGGAAGGACAUGUGAUUGGGAAGAUUUUUGUGGUCGAUAUGAUUUGUUAUUAAAGUUGGGAAAUACAUCGGAACCAUGGAAGUCAAGGAAACAACAAGAAAUUAAAGAAAAGAUUAGGAAGGAGUAUGAUGUGCCUAUUCCUGACGACGACUUGCUUUGGGGGAAAAUAUAUCAAGAUAUGGUGCAUGAGACUGGAGUGGAACCUGAAGGACUUUAUGCAAGGGAAACUAUUAUUAAGUAUUGGAGGCAAAAUAGAUCCAAGUAUCCACGACCUCUAACUGAAAAUGAGAAGAGAGAAAAUAGGAGGAAGUUGCAGGAGGAGAGGGAGUUGGAGAAACAAAGGUUGAGGGAGGAAAGAGAUCGCUUAGGUUAUGUGGUUGAUCCGAAUGUGAAAUACCCUAAGGGUUCAUGGGAAGAAUAUUUGCAGCAAGUUAGGGCAAGAAAGAGAAGGAUUGAAAUGGAAGAGUUACAACAAAAAACGGAAGAGGCACAGAUGGAGACGAUGAAGGCUAUUGUUGCCGAUUUACCUGUUGGUAAGGUUAAUGUCGAUAAGAAAGGCAAGGGAGUUGUUGUUGCCGGAGAUGAUGAUGAUGAUGAUGAUGACGAGUUACUAUACAAAGGUGACUCGGACUAGAUGAACGUGUUGAUGUAGCUGGAUCAUGUUUCUCUGUAGCUGUGAAAACUAUGUUCUUUUAUGAGAAAACUAUGUGUAUGUUUAUUCUGGGAACUACAAUUAGUUGUCAAAAACUAUUUUCAUUUCCGAGAGAACUAUGUCCAAACACAUCAAAGUUUCCUCUCCGAGCGGGUGAUGGGGCGGCGGGCGGUGGGAUGCUUCGUAUUCUCGUACGAAGGAACACCAUCGAGUAGAUUUUCGGUCAAGUUGCAGGAAGGAAGAGCAGAGGGCAGUGGCCCGGUUCUAUAGGCGCGACGCGACUGCACGAGACUGGCGUGCAUGCGUUGUGCGCUAGAGUGUGAAAGAAAUAGUAGUAGCUUCGAUGGGAUCGAUGAUUUGGAUGGAGGACGAGGAGGAGUGGGCGGUGGAGGAGGAGGAAGGCAUAGCGCUGGUAGAGCGGGUGUACUUGCAGUGUACUUGCAGUGGGCCGGAGAAGUACACUGCCAAAGUGACCAAUCGUUUCAUUUGCCAAAGUUGAAGAAAGGUAUUUGAGGCACCUGUGCAUGAUGGACCACAAGUGCAAGCAAAUUGGGAUGCUAGUUCAGCCCCAUUUUUACUCUCUUCUAGAUCCACCCUUUGCAGUGAGUACUUCCUAUGUCAGAAAGGCAAGAAAAUGAAGGCAUUUGUGAUGCAAUAAUAGUAGAAGACGAAGUACGAAUGGGGCAAUACGUACCCCUAACAUUUAAUGCAUGUGUGUGUUCUUCUUAUCCAUGAUUGCGCACCGGUCUGAUCUAAUCCUAUUGCAGAACACUCUGUGGGCGUCUUGUUAGUACCCUCUGCCUUGUGUUAAAUGUAGUUAGAAUUACCGGGCCUACUAAUAAACAUUACUCUAUCCUAACCACAGGCUUGCUACGCCACUCUGCCUGGCGAAGCAGAAAUGCGCUGGUGGUAGGGGAGGGGGCUUGCCGCGUCAAACGAACCGAACUUUCAGUAUGUUUCGCGGGGGGGGGGGGGUGUGGGCCUUGCCGCGCCACUCCGCCUGGCGCGGCAAGUGGGCCUUGCCGCGCCAACCAAAACGACCUUUCAGUAGGGUUUCACCGGGGGAGGGCCUUGCCGCGCCAGGCGGCCUGGCGCGGCAGAAGUUAGCUGCCGCGCCAAACGAAAUGAACUUUCAGUAGGUUUCCAGCCGGUGGGGGGGGGAGGCUUGCCGCGCCAGGCGGCCUGGCGCGGCAGGAGUGAGCUGACGCGCCAACUGCAAUACACUUUCAGUAGGGUUCCGGGGGGGGUGGCCGGUCUUGCCGCGCCAGGCGGCCUGGCGCGGCAGGGGUGCGCUGUCGCGCCAAGUUAAACACGCUUUCAGUAGGUUUCGCCGGGUGGUGGUGGCGGGCCUUGCCGCGCUAGGAGGCCUGGCACGGCAGGAGUGCGCUGCCGUGCCAAUUUUAGUAAACUUUCAGUAGGUUUCGGGCCAGGGGGGUGGGGCGUCAGGAGCGCGCUGCACAAUCCGAAACGUAUAACGGUGACAUGUACAAGGGGCUUUCAUAGUUAAGACCUCUUGCCUUGCAAGCUGUAAUGAAGUGUGAACAUGGAAGGUGCAACAAUUGAGGAACAUUGCAGGUGCACGAAACUUCGUGCAGAUCCACUCUGUAGUGUCGGCCUCCAUGACUCUCACCCCCAAUGUUAGUCGUACCAUAACUUCUUAUAGAAUACACCAUCCUUUCUGGCCCAUACGGUUCUUCUAAGUGGUGCACGGAUCUAAGCUCAGCCUCUGAUAAAUAAUCAUCUGCAACUUGCCCAAUUCUAUAGCCUUGAUCCAACAUUUCACGUGCCUUUCGCCAUCGGUUCACAAAGUAGGCGUUGCAUUUUUCGAAUGUGUAUUCAAUAAUUCCAGCGACGGGCCUACUUCGGAUGCCUUUGAAAACUCCGUUGAGUGAUUCCGAGUAGUUCGUGGUCAUAAUACCCCAACGCAUCCCUCCCUCAUCGAAAGCCUGCGCCCAUUUAUCCUUGUCCUCCAUUUCACCCUUCAACCAUUCUUUUGCGUCGUCGUUCAAGUCCUUCACUAAAUCUUCUAACUUCUCACAAAAUUCUCUCUCUGUAUGAACCUUGCAUAAUAAUUUCAAUUUUCCAAUCACACGAUUGCUCUUCUGCCGACGCGACAUGUUGGCAGCAAAGUGCCUCGUGCACCACCUAUGCACAAGCGGUGGAAAACCAUCAAUGUGGUCCUUCGCACAAUUUAGGAGCCCAUGAUGCCUAUCUGAUAUCAUACACACUAUCCGUGAAGGUCCAAGAACAUGUACCCGAACAAGUUUCAUAAACCAUGACCAACUCUCAUUAUUCUCACUCUCGACCAAGGCAAAAGCAAGAGGCACAAGCUGUUGUUCUGGAUCUACAGCAACUGCCAUCAUUAAUGUACCCUUGUACUUGCCAGUCAAGAAUGUACCGUCCACAAGUAUCACAGGACGGCAAUGUUGAAAUGCCUCACUACAUUGAGGGAAGCACCAAAAUACCCUUUGCAGUAUAUGCUUCAAAACUCCAUUGUCAGGAAGCAUCAUGCCACAUGAGUCGAUGCACCAUUUAACUCCGGGAUUGUAGUAGGUCAUAGCUGAGAGUACCCUAGGAACCAUGCCGUACGACUCCUUCCAGUCGCCCCAAAGCAGGGCAACAGCGUGUUGCUUUGCCCGCCAAGCCUUCGAAUACUUCACACGGUACCCACUAAAGAUGAAGAUGGACUCCACGAGUGAUGGCACCGAUGUCUCGCUGUCUUUACGGAUAAUGCCUAGGAUACGCCGUCCAAGGUACUUUGCUGUGCACUGUACAUGCUCUCGCUUCGGCUGUGACGACCGACAAGUAUGCGGUUGCACAACAAUUGAAAUUCUCCAUUGUCCGGUGCUUGAUAUUAGCCGAGACCAUACACGCCAAUGGCAUCCUUGCUUGCACAUCACAUUGUAUCUUAAGUUCUUGUCAGAGUGAACUACGCUAAAAGGUCUAUGUAACCUCACCGCGUAGUCAGCCAAGAAAAACUUCAGCUCCUCAAGACUAUUGAACUUCAUCCCCUUCUUAAUCACUGGACUCUGACCAAUGGACGUCCCUUCGGCAUUCACCAUACUAGAUUCACAUAUUGCUUUGUGAACCAUACUUAUGUCCUUAUCAUUGGGAAUGGAUGGCAGUUCGAUAUCACGUUCUUUUAACAACCGCAACUCAUACUGGGUGUAAGAAAAACAAUCGUCCAUACAACGAAUGCCUUCUACAUCAUGCACGGUUGCGGUGUCAAAUUGCGGUCCAUCCUCUUCAUUUUCUACCCCGACGUUCUCAUAUUCAUGCCCACCACUCUCAAAUAGUGAUUCCUCCUCUACCUCCACACCUACUACCCCAUCUUCCACCAAUUCACAAUCUUCGGAACCCAUAGAGACAUUAUCAACAUCUAUAUUUGCUUCAUCCCUCUCAAAAAUGUUAUUGGGAAAAUCAUCAUUGGCAAUAGCCAAGUCAAAAUCACGUUCUGUUUCACCUAACACGUGAUGCAACAUUUCUGACUCCUGGGUACCAUUAUGGUUCACUACCGCCACUUCCUCCCUCAUGACAACAUUUGGGCCAGGCAUACGAACAAUUUCGACUAUAACCUCCAAACAUGCAACAUUAGCUUCAUGCACAACAUCCUUAUAGUGCUUCCAAUUCGCAUCGGAUGCUAACUUCAUGAGAACAUAAUGAGCUCUAGCUUUCCCACAAUCAAAACGACCUCUCAAACUGAUCUCAUCCACUCUACAUCCAUACUUCCUCAUUACACGGUCAACUAAAUCACUAAAACUUGGAGGACCAUCGAAGAAUUCAAUUGACUCAUUCAUAUUCUCUAACUCCCCAUUUUGUUUCACAACACCACCAUCAAAAAAUCGAACUAAACGAUCCAUCUACAAAAUACAAACAUUUCACCAUGUCAUAUACACUACACAUUGCACAUAUUCGACAUAUCAACUACACACAUUACAUAUAUUGGACAAAUUGCAAAUAAAAAAUACACAUAUACAUUGCACUAUACGAUUCAAUGAAUACAUACCUAAAUCGACAAGUUCUACACGUCAAUAUCGCGGGCAGAGACUCCAUUGCGUAUGAACUACGUAUCAUCUAACACAAAACACCAUUGCAUUUCAUUCAAAAUUCAAAUCACUAACCUAACCCUAAGUCACCUAAACAUCCUCCGAUCUACCAAAUGCAACGGUAAAACAUGAGCAGCUUCUCUUUAGUGCCUUUCGUGAUUGUGGUGGUAUGAACUGUCAUCCUACUUUCAGAUACUGAAUAGUUCAAAGGUUAUUAAAUUAGCCAGCUCUUUUCACCAAUCUUUCUUGAGAUAUUGGUUAAAUUAUUGAUCUUUGUUGACACAGGCAUCAUGUAGCAUCCUAGCCAUGGUCGCUUCACUCCCGAUUGCCCAACUUCUUUUUUUCCACAUUCUUCUUAUCAAGAAGGUAAGUUCUGAUACAUUUCCCUUUUGUCUAAUUGUAUUUAGCUUUAAACAAUAAUAUCCUUGUUAACGAUAUGAGUAUCUAUGUCUUGAACAAGCUCAUGCACAUCACAGUUUUGGUUAAGUCUAGAAUCGGUUUUCAAAGUUAUGUCGUAGUUACAUAACUCUAAUGUGGUAAUCUGUCUAUUUGCAGUGAGAGUUUGUAUGAAGACUAUGAGUUUGACCAGUGGCAGCUUGUAGCACUAGUUCCUUCUAAGUUGUUUUUCAUAGCAGGCAGGAAGACUUACACGGCUUGUAGAGCUUGGUUGCUUCUUGAUCUACCUUGGUGGCUCAAAAUUGGUUGAAUGAAUCUGAUCCUGUUCAGUUUUUUUACAUGUCAUGUCGUAUUGAUAAAACUAAUCAUAAACUUUAUCGUUACAGAUAAGAUUGAACUUACUAGAUUGAAUGGGAGAGAUGUAAUUGGAUCAAUUAGUGCAAGUGGUGCAUGCUCCUUAUGUUGCGCAGGUGGUGUAUGGUCCUGCUCUUGUGUGUCAGGAUUGAUGGGUGGCACCGAAGAAGUAGCUCCGUCCACAUCCAUGGUGGCUGAGUUGUCUGAUGUGAAGCAAGAUGGUAAACUGCCGCUGCCUGCUACCUUCCUACCGCUGUAGCUGCCUUCUACCCUUCCUGGCUGCUGCAAGAUUGACAAGCCAGAGAAGGCCAGAGAUGUCCAUGUGAACCAAGAUUGUUGUCCGUGUGAAGCAAGAUUGUUUUUAUUAUCUCACGUCAAGUGUUAUUUUAAAUUAGGUGCUGUGAUAUCCUCACGCGAAGAGUUAGUUUAAAUUACGUGCUGUGAUAUCCUCACGUGAAGAGUUAGUUUACAUUAAAUUACGUGCUGUCGCUGACCGGCCCGUAUCGUAUCAUUAAUUAAUAAACUAGUCCACAUCGAUCCCCGCGAGAUACGAUGGCCCCGCCACACACGCUCCCCUGGCUUCCUCCUGUCGCGGCGCACUCCCUGUACGACGUGGCCUCAACGCGACGCAGCUUUCUUUCCCCGGCACAGGGGCACCACAGAUAAGAUUGUCCCCUGCCACGAAUCUCUCCGGGGUUCGUAAGUACAUUGCUGAACGAUUCAAGAAUCAGAACACAAGAAACACGCGCAGACGCUGUACUCGCUACCAUGGCCGUAUAGCCAGUUAACUGCAGCCUGCAGGCCUACUCGGCACAGAGCUGACCUCCAUCCUGGAGAUGCUGUUCCUCUUCCGAUCCUCGGGAGGCAAACGGCUGAAGGCCAACGAGAACCGAUGAAGGGUACAACAUGGGUCGGAUGAAGGUACCAAUAAAUUUAUUAAUGCACAUGUAAUAAAUGUACUCUAGUAUCCCGGUGGAUUAGGCAGUGGGUUUUGGCUUAAAAGAGCAUGGGUUCGAUCUCCUUGAAGAAUUUUUUUAAGUCGCCAUUUUUUUUAACUUUUUUAUUUUGCAAUAUUUAUCCUUACUUUAGUAUAUAAACACUCAAUAAUUUUGCAUAGCCAAAAUCAUUAGUAAUUUUUUGGAAUGUUACCUUUUUUUGUAAAUUCAUGUAAUUUCAAAAUUAUGAGCUUAAGUUUGUAUAUAGGUUUUCGAAGGUGGCAUGUACCACAUUUUGCUCCCGACAGCUACUUGACAUGUCACUAUGUCAGUCAAAACUGUUUGGCACCUUUGGCCUGUCAUUCAUUUGCCUAUGUCUCAUGUUCCUCUACAUGGCAUUGUAGUUAGUACGCAAUACCACCACCAAAAGUGAGAUUAGACCAGUAGCACCUUGUUAGCCCAUUUGACUUGCCAUGCAAUUGUCUAUGUACCAUGUUCCCCUACAUGGCCAUACAUGUACUCUUGAAGACCACAAGUCACAAAGCACGCGCCUUCAUCUAACAUGAACAUAAUGACACAAACUACAUGGAUUAUGAAACUAUAUCAUGGUUUUUGAAUUAUGACACAAACUAUAAGGUCAUCAAUAAAGUUUUCAUGUAAGUUUAAAAAUUGAAACAAAGUAUAUCAUUAUUUUUGAAUUAUGAAACUUAAAUUGUCACAAACUAUUUUCUUUUUUAUAUUAUCAUAAAUUAUAAACUUUAUAGAUGGUGUUACAUGCAAUAAUAUAGUUGUCAGUUUAUUUCGCCCGUACUUGGCCGAAUUUGAGAAACGGCCCGGCCCAACAACACCUCAUGCCUCUACGAACCCUACGAUCCCUUCCGCCCGACUCAUUCCGCCCUCACCCCCUCAUUCACGCCGCCCCCGUUCCAUUCUGGAUCGCGCCGCCCCCUCACCCCGCAUCGCACCGCACCCGCGCAUGCCGGGGAAGGGCUCGCGCCGGUCUCCCUCGACUCGCUCACCUGGGAGCCCGACCCCAAGCAUCAGUAGUAGCUCUGCCGCCGGCGCCGACCAGGCAGACGACCUCAGGCGGCUCCGCACCAGCGUCCAGGACUCCACGGGCAAGGCCAAGUACGCACCCUUCCCAGCUCGCCGCCCUCCUGUGUGUUAUCCCCUCCCCGGGCAAGGACAAGGUCAGGAUGCUUAAUGUGUGUUUCGUGAAUUCUUUGUUUGCAGACUUGUUUGCGAUAAUGAGCAUGUAACACACUGAAUAGCAGUACACUUAAAUUGUAGGAACUAAAACUGAAGAUAACUUUUUAAAUUGUAAGAGUCGAACUAGAUCUCAGGGGAUCCCUUCAUAGUCUGCUCCUCAUUGAAGACCGAGUUCACCAGUAUAGCUGCAAGCUUAGAUCUAAACUCAUCAAUAAGGUAUCGUGUGAAGCCUUUUUGUAGUCUGUAACCAUUCCAGUGCUCCAUGUACUUGAGCAUGAAUAGGCCGGAUGAUGUCCUGUCCUCCUGUUGCGGUAAUCCACCGAGCAUGUCGAUGUCCCAGGUCUUGAUAUUAAAAUCCUUCCACCGAUGGUAGUCCUCCUUCUCGUCGUUUUGAAUGAUCUCCAAAUAACAGUGCAAGCCUUCAACCUAUUUCAUAUAAUGUUAUUUCAUAAUGUGCAAUCAAAAUGGAACAGUACAAAGCAUACUUAAACCUCACCAUAUUCCUGACUUGUUGCACUAUUUUUGCAACGAAUUGUUUGUCGGAGUUCAAUACUUGUACAAUUCGCAAAUAAGCGUUCACUACCAUCAAGAACCAGUGUGUCUGCACACGCAUUGGGAGAAAUACCUACAAAUGUUGUAGUCAGUAUUGAACGCAUGAAAGUAUUGACUAGCAGUUAAGUAAAUAUGUCCUACCAUUUCAUGACUGACGUAUUUAAAUGCAACUGCACGCCUGUGCAUUUUUUCUUCUUCACAUAGCUCAGCCUCAUGUCUCUGUGUGUACUGGAACCUUGCAGGAAUGUGCGUGUUCUCCAGGUAAACAUUGGUGAACAUCCGUUUGUCGUCCGGGAUCUUCCCCCACAUGUCAUGUAUGCGUGCAUCUACUAUCUGCAUGAUACAAUAAUUAUCUGCAUGAGCUUGCCUAUCUAAUUACUAAUUAAAGUUUUGAUGCAUCAUUAUUUUAUUGUAGCUGGGGGUGCCAACUGACAUAGAGCAAUAUAAUACAGAAGCAACAGAACCAUUAAUUGAUCAGGACAGUAAGAACAAGGUACUUAAAUGACACUCCACUUCACAUCUUAAUGUUGGUAUCUUAAACAACAAGUAAAUGAACAAUGUUUAAGGACAGACCUUGUCAUCUAAACAUUUGUUGAAAGAGUCGUAGUCAUACUUUAUAGUCAAAGUGUGAAUCUCCUUUCUUGUUAAUACAAUACCCUUUAUUUUGAUAAUGAUAUCGUCAUCUUCUUGUUAAUACAAUACCCUUUAUUUUGAUAAGGAUAUCGUCAUCGUUGCCUCUGUUUAUAUUCAUAACUUGAAGAAAUUCAUCCAUGAAACAGCUGAACUCUGCAAUCACAUCAUCACAUAGUAUCAGUUACCGAUAUGAAUUAAUGUCAAAUGUUAGAUUGGAAACACUUCAUAUUACCUUUCUUUACAUUAGGUUUAUCCGACUCGCCUCGCCUCCUUUUUGUGCUAUCAUAGGGACCUGGAUUAGUAUCAUGAUCAUAGAACUUACUUACUUUUUCAUCAAUUGGCCUAGGUGCCUCUCCGGCUGUGCUUGAAAUCAGUCGCCCUUGUGCUACAUUCUGUCGUGCCAAACCAAAUUCGUUGAUCUGCUCUUCAGGCUACAAGGUUGUGAGUAGGCAAGUCAAACUCACAUGUAGGAUUCAAAAUUUAUCAGUACGUACCUGGUUGUAGCACUUAAUGUCAAUCAGUGAACGUUGAAUUGUGUGAAAGGCGCUAGUAAUUUCUUUUACUUGCUGACAGGUUGAAUCCUGUGCAGUUUUUAGGUAGUUGUAGUCUCUGUAUUCCCGGGUAUCCAUGGCGUGUAAUUUGGCCAUUAUGUCACCAUAGGCCUUUGACACCUAUAAAAUUGUGAUUAAUUAAAUCAUAACGGUUUAAAAUAUGAUGAUGGCAACAAAAAGAGCAGAAAAAAAUUGUACUGGCUUCCUUUCUAUCUUGGGUGGAUAGGUGAAUGGGUCCUCAGUAAAGCUAACGAUAGGGUCUUCAUAAUCUGAUUCGUCAUCAGUGUUAUCCUCCAAGUGACCAUUAUAGAUGGCCUGUACCCCAUUGUUUCCCUGGGGUGAAUGGAUCUGAUUAAAAAAUUAGGACAAAUAUAAUUUUUUUCCAUGUCAUGUUGUAUUGAUAAACUGAUCAUAAACUGUAUUGUUGCAGGCAAGAUUGAACUUACUGGAUAGGAUGGCACAGGUGUAAUUGGAUCAAGUCGCGCAGGUGGGGCAUGCUCCUUGUGUCGUGCGUCAGGUAUAUGGUUCUGCUCCAUGUUGAGGAAAUGGAGGCGUGAGGAGAUGGAGGCGUGAGACAAAUUCCCAGAUGGGGGGUAUUUAUUUAUCUAGGAAUUUGUACUGUAUGGAUAUCCGGAUAUCUUCUACCAAUUUGAAUCUGUUAUCUUUACGUGUUAAUUCUGUCUUGGAGAUGAUGGAUAGAGUUAGUUUUCAAAUUGAAUAUUUUAUUGCACGUAUGAAUUCUCUAUCUGUUAAGGUGUAUAAAACGAUGGGUAAUUGUUGGGCACACCGUUGCGUACUAGUACUAUGCAGGUUGGUGGUGAGAUUAGGAUUAGGAGCAGCUUCCGGAAGGAUGGUCCAAAUCGGUAGGCUUUUUGCAUUUCGCAGGUACUAGUGCCGGCACUGACACCAAAUUCGUUAAAUUCGUUAUAUAUAAAAAUAUGAAAUAAUUCAAUAGUAUGAAACGAACUCACCAUUUAACUUGAAUACAUAUGCUUUGCAAAAACAAUUGCACUUUUGCACAAUGUAUCAUAUAUGUAUAUGCAUCCUUACAAACAAGUACAAAUUGCGCUUACAUGAGGAGGCCGGGCUUUACAUUACUCCUCUCUUUCUAUUCUGAAAGUACAAGCAGCAAUCAUACAGGGAAAGGUAGGAAGGAGGCAGGAAAACAAGGCAAAGGUGGUGAAGCAGACGCAGGAGGACAACAACAUCUCCACUAAAAUAAUUUACAACAGACCGGCUCAUGCAUGUAUCUGUGUCAGCAUCCAGUAAUCCCCUGAACCAAACAAAAGCUCAAUCAUUGCUCCUGUGAUUUGCACCUCCCACCAAACAUGCUCCUUUUUCCGAUCUUCUCAUAUCUUUCUUUCUCAGCAUGUGCACAACACAGCAGAGGCAGGGAGAUUGUGGCGUGCAAUCUCUACUUUCUUUGUUGCCAGCGACCAUAUGCUCAAUGUUGAUCAGAAGAUGCAACUCCAGCAAACAUCACUUGCCAAAAGUCUUGCAUUGCUUCAAUAUAAAUAUACUGCCAGCUCUGAAAUUCACGACAUAGUGGAGGGCUGGAGGCCUAGAUGAAGCUUCGGCAUUCCCAUCACCAUUUACCUUGACAGAGCAGUCAACUGUGGGCAGUGACAAUGGAGCUCGAGAUACCAAUUUGGUCAGCGAGUGCAUCACUUGGAAUGCACACUACAUUCUGGAUUCUGGAGUGCGCAUAAUUUCAAGUACAUAAUUUAUGGGAUACAUUGGAGCUGACUGUAUCAGUCGCCUGCAAGCUUUGGAUUCUUUGGAGACAUAACCCGAGCCUUAGUUGUAACAGCCCAUCAGCGUUUUUCUUACCCUAUCGACAACACGGUUCCAAUUAGUUGGACUGUUUGCCAGAGGGAAUUCUUUGCUGUCAUCCAGGAGGAAUCUGUAGACCUCCCAUUGACGCUCUGAUGCUGACUGUCUCCCAAUUUCAGCCUGAAAUGAACAAGAAUAAAUACUAACUCACAAUGAACUGACUUGCUACCUUCUAAAAUUAGUUAGUUCUAGAAUUCUUACAGAGAAAAUGCAGAUUCCAAGUGCUUUCAGAGCAAGAAGAGCAUCAUAGAAUACGCGCGGUCGUCCCUUCCCGGAUGGAGCAUCUCAGACCUCAGGCGUGACCUCAGAACCUCCUGUUUCUCAGGAUCAAUAACCUUCUUGCCAUCUACUUGUUUGACAAAAAGAUCAACCUCUCGACAACCUUUAUUACCUCACCCUUUCUUGUCUGAUCUGAAUCGCCCAUAAAAUAUCUGAGACAGUACCAAAUCAUGAUAUAAGAUAAUACACAAGUCAAUUGAACUCUAUAAAAGUAUGAUCAUGAACAGAGCUCCAGUUACCUGAAUGUUGCAGUCCUUCAUUGUUCUCAAGAUGUCAUCCUAACUACUGUGCACAUCUUUCUGUUGCAGGUAGAACAUGAAACAUCCUAACUCUGGAAACAAAAACCAAACACCUGCAUGCCCGAUGGCAUAAAUAAAAAAUUUAACUAUCUAACCUACAUAUUUUCAAACAGUUUCCCAGAAUUCAUGACUUGCCUUCCACCUCUUGUUGGAUCGCGGAGCACCUUUCGAAACAAUCUUCACUGGAUCAAGUACUUUGGUGCCACCAGGCUGGUUGGCUGCUGAGAAUGAGCCGGCAAAGGCCCAAAUGUCGUUUCCUCUUCCAUCCCUUGCUCAUGCGUGUCUUCUUUCAAAAUAUCAUCAAGUAACUUCAUUACCCUCUCCGUCUCACCUUGGCUCCUAGAAACUUUGAAUAAAGCACGAUUGCCCUUUGAGCGAAGGGAAUGGUAACGAUCCAUUUGUUCAGUCCAAACAUGCGUGUUGGUACGCAUCUCCGUUGGGAAAGCACUCUUCGCAUUCAUAGUCCACCUCACGUAAACACAACAAGGAGGGAUGCUCUCUAUACGAGAAUACUUCAUGACACAGAAAGUAUGUGCACAUGGAAUUCCUUCCCGCUCCAGCUUCUGGCAAUGGCAUCUAGCAUCAACCAACGAUGACCCAAAGGUACAAGUCACGUGAAACCAACGCUUGUUGUUGCCUUGCAAUGAAACCUCAUACCUCAAACACCCAUUCUGCAAUGUCACCUCUGUCACCGACCAAUUACUUGAUUUUUUUAUCUGGAAGCUCACUUUCUGGAAAAUAGUUGGUGUGAAGAUCUACGCAACACUUUUCUCAAGAACAUCAGCAGAAACCUUAGUGAAUGGGAUAGAACAUAGAGCCUUCGCAUCAAGCUCAAUCUCAUUCCGACGAAUGCGUGAUAGGCAAAACUCGUAAUGCUCCAUUAAAUCAACCAAGGACAUCUUUCGGUCUAAAUGGUUGUGAAGCCUUGAGUUCAGACUCUCGCUCCUCUGAUUGCUUUGCAUGCCCAAGAAAUGUCUCCCUCUUGUGAAUGUGGCAGCCCACUUCCUUCUAAGUUCGUACAUCCUAUUUACCCAUAGGUUAUCUUCUUUGAUAUUAUGGGUACCUCUAAACUCUCUCCAAAGCCUAUCAGAUUCACCCUCCUCCAUUGCAUGGUAUAUGAACUUCCUGAAAUCCUUGAGCUUCGAACCACGAAACCGUUUCAGCAUGUUCUGCUCUAUGUGCCAACUGCACAAUCUAUGAUCUGCAUCAGGCAUGACAAUCUCAAUAGCUCUCAUCAUCGCUGCGUCCCCAUCAGUGAUUAAGGAUUUUGGAUGCUUCUGGUGCAUCACCUCCAGUAAAGCCUCAAGGAGCCACACAUAUGACAAGAUAGUUUCAUCCGAUAAAAUACCACAGCCAAAGACAACUGUGCUUCUAUGAUGGUUAACUCCUAUAAAAGGGACAAAUGGAAGAUUGUACCGGUUCACUCGGUAAGUGCUGUCGAAUACAACGACGUCUCCGAAAACACCAUAGUCUAUCUGCGACUGUGCAUCCGACCAAAAUAGGUUCUUCAACCUGCCUUGUGCAUCCACACUAAAUGUGAAAAAGAACUCCGGAUCUUUCUCUUGCAUCUGACGCAUAUGAUUCAACACAAAUUCUACAUCGCUUCCUUCAACCUUUCCCUUCUUGUACCUUGAAAAGAAAUUGUACAAGUCCUGCGAAAGAAAUCCAGUCUCCCCUGGACCACCGUGGCUGGCCUCCAUUACGUCCAUGAUCUGAAAUGGACGCAGCCCACCUAGUCCCAGCUCUACUGCCUCCACUUUCUGAGGAUCAUUAAGCCCUCAAUGAGACCGCAAAAUAAAAACAUGCUCUGGUUUUGCAAGGGCAUGUGUAUGGACAUCCACAAAGUCCUUCACAUACCAGAUGCCAAUACUUUCACUCCACUCCACAUCAAGCCUAGCCGUGCAUCCACAACGGGUGAGGGCACGCAGCUGUCUUUUUUUAUCCAUCCUUUCAAAGUACUUAACAGAUCUAUAUCCUUCACAGGAGCACAUGAGUCUUCUCCAUAUCACCUCUUUGGUGCCUGUCUUGUACCUAACUCUGCCCUUUCUGAUAUUGAACCCUUUAUGGUAUGCAUAAUCAUUGUAAAACUCAUAGAAAUCUUCCUCCCUCGUAAAAGUCUGAUCUACAAUACACUUAUAUUCUUUAGUUUCCUCCAGGCUAACGUACCCUUCUGCCUCCAUUACGGUAACCUACAACAAAAAAAUUACAAGUAUUACAACCAUUUCAAAGAAAACCUUCGUAUCAACAUAGGACGGAACUGAAGUUCUUCAUCCCAACCUAACUAACAAAGCUUACCACAUCUGCAAUUGCAGGUUAAUAUUAAAAUAAUCAGCAGCAAUUAGCUAAGCAAUACACCGUCUGACCUAACCAAUGCUGGAAAUGAUGGCCUUUGUGGUGGUAACCCUCAACUGAAAUUGCCACCCUGCUCUAACCACUCCAGGAAUAAGCCAUUGUAAAAACUUGCCAUAAUAGUUGCCAUAUGCAGUGGUUGUGUUUUUGUUGCAUUUUAGAAUUUGCACUGUCUUCAUUAUACAGAAAGAAUAAAAAAAUAAAAGAAAACCAACAGAGCUCAGUCAUUGGUGAACAACACAUGAGGGUAUCUUAUGCUGAAUUAGCCCACGCAACUAAUGAUUUUUCAUCUGAUAACCUCAUUGGGGCUGGGAGCUUUAGUCCAGUUGUGGUUCCAUUUGCUACAGCUCUCUAAUCUCUUCUAAUAAAAGUUUGCAGUGCUAGGUUUUAUGUAAGUUAAAGCUUUGUUGCUAUUUCUCUCGCUUAAAUAAGUACAAGUUCAAUGAAACUCUGUUUUCUAGAGUAGGCCAGGAAAUAGCUGAAACUUGUAAAUUCCUAAUAAGGGAAAAAUAAAUAAGCUAUUUCACACUUAUUUGUAAAUAAAUAUAACAAAGAAUUUCAUAGUUGCAUAAAUGAAUACUGCAAGAAACAUUUAUUACAUACCCAAAUUCUUGGAAAGGUUGCUUUCUUACAAAAUAAGACCUCCUGGAAUUGUUACCGGAGAUGUGGGACAUGGGGGAGUGGCGGCGUGUGGGAGAAGGGCGUGGCAGCGUGCGGGCGAUGCCGGCGAGGCGGCGGUGGCGGUGGCUGAGCGGUGGCGGCACGACAGGCAGGGCGGCGCGAAGGCGUGGCGGCGCGACCGACGGGGUGACGUGCGGGAGGUGGCGGCACGGCGUGCGGGAUGGGGCAGGGCGGCGUUUGGGCGGGGUCGGGGCGGCGUGCCGGCAGUAGGAAACUGGCAGCGCGUGGGGAAAGGGUGCGGCCGGUGGCGGCGCGGCGUGCGGGCAGGGGCGGAGCGGCGUGCCCGCGACGGGAGACCGGCUGCGUGGCGUGCUGGCGGGGGUGGAGUGGCGUGCCCAUGACGGGAGACCGGCGGCGCGGCGUGCGGGCGGGGGCGGAGCGGCGUGCCCGCGACGGGAGAACGCGGCGCGUGGGGAAUGGAUCGCGGGGGACUGGCGUGCGGGGAAAAUGACCGGUAGAAAAAAUAUUCUCCGAAUAAUAUAUAUCGCGCUAAUUACAAUUUUACCCAUGCCAAAAAAGGACUUAUACUCUAUACUACCAACUGGUAGUAUUGUCCACCGUAAAAAAGCUACGCUGGCUAGCCCGGUGGCCGUGGGGAACAGGGGGAAAGGGUUGUGGACCCUCAUUAUCCUCGUUCUUUGGGAGAUCUGGCUAGAGAGAAAUCGAAGGGUCUUCCAACACAAAGACAGCACGGUUACCCAGAUAACCGACGGCAUCAAGAACCAAGCUGCGACGUGGGUCGCUGCGGGAGCUAAACACUUGGGGGACUUUCUCUUAGGUUGAGUGUUCCGUUUUGUACUAGUUGUCAUAGCGGAGUUCUGCCUCUCCGUUUCGGGGAUGCGAGUGUACAGCUUGUAUAGUACGUCUGUAUACGGCCCGUUGGGCUUUUCCUCUCUUUUAAUAUAGCAGCAGCUCUCCUGCUGGCUCAUUCAAAAAAAACUUUUAUUUAGUUAACAGACGAAUGUGAGAGAAGUGAGAGCGUUAAAAAAAAAAAAGCAAAACAGCAAAACGAAAAUUUGGGCCUAUCCUCCAUUGCAAGCAUUAACGAAUUGGUAAAGUUAAUAGGAGGGCCAACAUAUCCACCGUGUUAACAUGACACGAGUACUCUCUAGAGCAUGGUAUUGUUUAUCAACUACAUUAUAUUCUAGAAGUAUUUCGGGGUAACAUGGAGAUUGUGGUGCUUGUACGUCCUCGCUCUCCAACUACUCCUACUUCGCUGAACAACCCAUGCUCUUGUAUCUGCCAGCACGCAGCACAAUUUAAUAGCACAUCUUUUAGAACGCACAGACAAAGGCACGUCCAAUGGAGCCGGCAGCUGGUGGAGGGCAGCAGGCAAGGCGACGACCUGCCCUCCUCGCCCUCCUCUCCACGUCGCUGCUCCUCAACGCCGUCUUCCUCGCGCACCACUUGUUCCGGCCGUCCCGGGUUCUCAGCGCGGUCGGCGACGGCGGUGGCAGCAGCUGCGGGCUGAGCUGGACGCUGCAGGCGGCUAGGGAGGCCGAGGCGGUGGCCGCCGUUGACUGCUCGGGUCACGGCCAGGUGUUCUUGGAUGGCGUCGCCGGCGAGGAUGGGCGGCCCGGGUGCGAGUGCAACGCCUGCUUCGCCGGGCGGGACUGCUCCCUCCACACGCCCAACUGCACCGCCGACGCCGACAGGUACGCGAUCCCGGCGUGAAUUAAUCGAUCGCCCUCUACUCUGUACCUUAUGUCUUGGUGUGCAAAUGUUGGGAAGUGAUCAUGUCUAAUCCUAGCUCCGACACGGCGAUGAGACGAUUAAUCCUAAAACCUCGUCUAUUAAUCCUGUUCUCUGUGUCUAAUUCUGGUCCUGGUCCUGGUCCUUUUGUGUCGCGUUCGUACUCGGCCGCAUCGCAGACCAUGACGCUUUGCGUGCCAGCUUCCUGGCCCUGCAUCUGACUGCUGUCGCCGGUCCUGUUCUCAUCCUGUGCACGAUUCGAUCAGCGGGAACCCGUUGUUCCUGGAGCCAUACUGGCGGCGGCACGCGGCCGCCAGCGCCGUUGUGAUCUCCGGGUGGCACCGCAUGAGCUACAUCGCCACUGGCAUUGAAAAAAUGUUCCAAUCCGUGGAGCUCGAGCGCCAGAUCCGGCGCCUGCACAGGGCCGUCGGCAACGCCGUCGUCGACGACAAGCACGUGGUCUUCGCCGCCGGCUCCAUACAGCUCAUCAACGCGCUCGUGCACGCGCUCUCCCCGGACGCCAACGCCGCCUCGCCGCCGGCCCGUGUGGUCGCCACCGCGCCGUAUUACCCGGUAAGCCGGCCUCUCUCCACAUAUAUUCAGAGAUGGGGUCAAUCGAACAAGUCAUCGUUGAAUCUCUACAACCAUUGAUCGAUUGUGCAGAUUUACAGGACACAGACGAAGAUGUUCGACGGCCGCGAGUACAGAUGGGGCGGGACCACGGCUCUGUGGGUCAACGCGUCGCGGAACUCCACCGAUGGCUUCAUCGAGUUCGUCACGUCGCCCAACAACCCGGACGCCCAGCUCUACGAGCCCGUCCUCGGCGGCUCGGCCCCGGUGAUCGUCGACCACGCCUACUACUGGCCGCACUUCACGCACAUCCCGGCGCCGGCCGACGAGGAUGUCAUGAUGUUCACCAUGUCCAAGCCCUCCGGGCACGCCGGCAGCAGAUUCGGGUUCGUCGCGUAGCAAGCAUGGUUCACGAAUUAUAUAAUUGUAUAGAGACGACAGAGAGAGGCAAUGACACAUCUCCUGUGCGUGCAUUACGCAGGUGGGCACUGAUCAGGGACGAGAACGUGGCCAAGAGGGCCAACGAUUACGUGCAGAACAGCAUCAUGGGCGCGUCCCGGGAUACCCAGCUGCGGAUGCUGGGGAUCGUGAAGAUCAUGCUGGCCAAUCUGCACGGCAAGGAGGACAUCUUCGCCUUCGGGCACGACGUGAUGAGAACCAGAUGGCGCAGGCUGAACGCCGUCGUGUCGCGCUCCCGCCGCAUCUCGCUGCAGAGGAUGGCUCCCGAGUACUGCACCUACUUCAAGCGGAUCAGAGAGCCAUCGCCAGGUCAGCAGCAACUCAAUUUUUUUUAUAUCUACAUCGCAUCUCAAAGCAUUUUCUAUUGAACUUCUUGGCUCUUGCAACUGUACUCGGUGGACAGGCUAUGCAUGGGUGAAGUGUGAGAUGGAGGAAGACGACGACUGCUACGAGGCGCUGCUGAAGGCAAAGAUCAUCACACGUUCAGGCGCUCGCUUCGAAGCUAGCAGCCGGUACACGAGGUUGAGCCUCCUCAAGACGGAUGACGACUUCGAAGUCCUCAUGGAGAGGGUUACGGAUCUUGUCAAUGCCGAGAAUUACGACGAGCCUGCCUCGAGCUCCACGACUUUGGUAAUGUAAAGGGAACUUCCAUGGACCAUGGGCACCCAAAAGUGCCGGAACGUUCAACCCAGAAAAUAACUGUCUCUCUGCUUAACCUGGAGAGUAACUGGGAACAUAUUGCAGAUGUUUUUCUUACGUUUGGAAACUCGACGAUUCAGGUAGUGUGAAAAACGCGUCCCAAAGGUGGAUUGAGUACUUCACUCGAAAGAUCUGCAUUGCCU